UCCCUGGCAGUCAAGAGGUUAAGACUCUACACUUCCAAUGCAGGAGGCAUGGGUUCAAUUCCUGGUCUGGGAA
Molecule: transfer RNA, 73 nt
Filed under: Bos taurus (domestic cattle)
Lineage: Eukaryota; Metazoa; Chordata; Mammalia; Artiodactyla; Bovidae
Also listed under: 5 other names
Rfam family: tRNA
About the family: Transfer RNA (tRNA) molecules are approximately 80 nucleotides in length. Their secondary structure includes four short double-helical elements and three loops (D, anti-codon, and T loops).
Source: Rfam by way of RNAcentral